RNAcentral lists this long non-coding RNA (714 nucleotides) under Rosa chinensis. RNAcentral's name for it is "sRNA RchiOBHm_Chr1g0339641". The record is from RNAcentral. Lineage: Eukaryota; Viridiplantae; Streptophyta; Magnoliopsida; Rosales; Rosaceae.
UCCUGAUCGUGAAAUUUUUGCGAGUUUGACAUGCUGUUGUAACGAGAAAUUUGAGAAAGAAAAAGGUGCUGUUGCCACUCAGCUUGUGGGUGAGAGGGUGCAAAUUAUUAUAAAUGAAGUGGCAGACUUGGGUCUUGGCACCCAUCUUCAAUGUCUAGAGCACAUUGGCGAGGACUUUCAACCUCUAAUGGGUGAACUGGAGAAUGAACCUUAUUCAGUUGUUGGAGAUGCCGUUCUCAAGGACUACAUAUAUUUGUUCACCUAGAUAAGAAUGAAGACAAAUCAAUCUGCUCAUAGAUUAAAUCCUCUGGACCCCGAACUGUGACGGUUACCAAAAUGGGAGCAGCUGAAAGGGCAUCAUAUCAAGAACUUGAGGGCAUCAUAUCAAGAACUUGAGGCGCCAUGUCAACUAGUACAGUAAAGGCAGCUCAACACAACAAAUUCUGGUGCAUUCUCCCCACUUCACUAUGCAACAAAGAAAGUCUAAGUUUGAAGUAGCUUGGUUCAUGAGAGCAAGCUCGGUAGUUUUUGUUUUCCUUGAAAGACUUUAAUCUGAAGUACACUUUUAUAGCUAGGUUUUCUGAAGGUAUGUAACUUGUUUGCCUUCCAGCUAGUCUUGGUUUGAAGUAGCAGCUACAUGUGCACAUCGAACUACAUGUAGUUGUAAUGGAAUUAAAGCUUAAUGGGAUUCAUAUAACAUAUGCAUGUGAUGUC